This 3538-nucleotide long non-coding RNA is filed under the name Lynx pardinus (Iberian lynx). Lineage: Eukaryota; Metazoa; Chordata; Mammalia; Carnivora; Felidae. The record is from RNAcentral.
GCGCCCGCCCCGCGCGCCCCUGCGCUCCCCGCGCCGCUCACCGGGGUCCCGCGGCGCUCGCAGGCCGCGCCGCCCCCUCGCCCUGCGACCCCGAGGCCCGUCUGACCCGCCGGCGCCCGGGGCCGCCCGGGGCGGUCCUGCGAGCCGGGGAGAAGGGAAAGGCGGCGGUGCCGAGCGCAGCGGGAUGCUGAGCCGGGCCCGGCCUGCCGCAUCUUCUGCCUCUCGCCCUUGCCCGGCCCCACCCGGCCCUGCCCGGGCAGCACGCACUUCUCUGGGGGCCCAGAAUUCCCCCGAUCCUGCCAGGCGCUCCCGCGGGCGGAGUGCAGGCUGCAGAACUGGAGGGCGUGCUGGGAAAUUCCCUGGCCGCCCCAGGCACCGGGAGAGUUAACUGAGCUGCCUGCAGCCGCGCUGUAAACAAAUCGUUUAAAAUAUCUGGAGUCAGUAAGUUAAGUGAAAGGGAGGAAACCUCUUCUGACAGGACCUGCAGUUUGGCCUACAGCGGGGGUCCCAGCAUCCUCCAGCUGGCCGUCCCUGGAAACUAACCUUCUUUCUUUUUAUUUCUUACUGGGAGAGGGGACAGGCCUCUGGGUGUAGACUGUUAACUUCUCGCCCCAUCUCCUGUCUGUAGAGUGGCAUAUUGUCAGCUGGAAGGAUGACAGAGUAUCCUUGUGGCUGCUAAAAAUCAGGUCCUUUUUAUUAUGACUUCCUUGAUUGUAAAGAACAGUCCUCCCCCCUUCCCUUACUUUUACAAACGUGCUGAGAAGCCCGUGCCUAGAUCAGGACCAUGGCCCUGUUUUUCCACCACAGCUGGCCGAAACCAGAACCCUCCCUCAGUUGCCUGACUUUCCUGUCCUCUUGGCCACAGCUCUGGGAGCCUCACUGAGGAUUCCAGAGAAUUCCUGGAGAGAACGGUACAGAGCAGUGUGGUUAUACUCCAUCACUUGCACCAAACCCCCAAUUCCCUGUGGUUCCGGAGGCCUUUCCCAUACUCUCCCCUUUGUUCAUUCUCAACAAGAAGGACCACUGACUGGAGCCACCAGAAAUCUAGACCCUUGGAGAGAAGUCACAGGAUCCCUCCAUCAGUCCUCCUCACCUCCCUGACCUCUGAAUGAGGAUUAACCAACUAAGUCUGGACAACAUGUGGAAGAAGAAAAGACCAAUAAGAAUUCUUACCUAUCUGGGUUGGNGCCGCCCCAGGCACCGGGAGAGUUAACUGAGCUGCCUGCAGCCGCGCUGUAAACAAAUCGUUUAAAAUAUCUGGAGUCAGUAAGUUAAGUGAAAGGGAGGAAACCUCUUCUGACAGGACCUGCAGUUUGGCCUACAGCGGGGGUCCCAGCAUCCUCCAGCUGGCCGUCCCUGGAAACUAACCUUCUUUCUUUUUAUUUCUUACUGGGAGAGGGGACAGGCCUCUGGGUGUAGACUGUUAACUUCUCGCCCCAUCUCCUGUCUGUAGAGUGGCAUAUUGUCAGCUGGAAGGAUGACAGAGUAUCCUUGUGGCUGCUAAAAAUCAGGUCCUUUUUAUUAUGACUUCCUUGAUUGUAAAGAACAGUCCUCCCCCCUUCCCUUACUUUUACAAACGUGCUGAGAAGCCCGUGCCUAGAUCAGGACCAUGGCCCUGUUUUUCCACCACAGCUGGCCGAAACCAGAACCCUCCCUCAGUUGCCUGACUUUCCUGUCCUCUUGGCCACAGCUCUGGGAGCCUCACUGAGGAUUCCAGAGAAUUCCUGGAGAGAACGGUACAGAGCAGUGUGGUUAUACUCCAUCACUUGCACCAAACCCCCAAUUCCCUGUGGUUCCGGAGGCCUUUCCCAUACUCUCCCCUUUGUUCAUUCUCAACAAGAAGGACCACUGACUGGAGCCACCAGAAAUCUAGACCCUUGGAGAGAAGUCACAGGAUCCCUCCAUCAGUCCUCCUCACCUCCCUGACCUCUGAAUGAGGAUUAACCAACUAAGUCUGGACAACAUGUGGAAGAAGAAAAGACCAAUAAGAAUUCUUACCUAUCUGGGUUGGAUUACAAAAUGUUCAGCCCCCUUGUCUUCCCCCAGCUCUGAAGUAGUCCUUCCUUUAUUAGCAUCCACAACUAAUGUGCAAAAUGCAAAACAAUUAAGAUAGAGUAUCAACAUAGUUUGAGAAAAUGGAAUUUUUAUUUUACAAGCCGACAACUCUCAGCCCCUCAUUAGUUGAAGGUAGUAACAUGGCUACAAAAGAACAAAGAGAAUGUGAAUAGGGGAGAAAGUACAGGUGUGAAGGGCUAACUUCCCAAAUCCCAAUCUACAGUGCAUUUGAAGAGAAGAAAAAAAAAAUCUGUCUUCCUAAUAUCUCCUUAGCAUAAGCCUUGUUGGAAAUGUUUGCUCUGGCAAAAGUGAGAUGCCUGAGACAUCCAGACAGCAUUCCCAGGAACAAAGGAAGGGGGUGGAGGGUGGAGGAGAGUGAGAAGAACAGCCCCUCUCUGGAAGAACUGCAAGUUCCCCUGCCUGAACAAGAAAUGCAUCCUGUCCCUGUGCUCAGGGCUGCAGCCUGGAAGCUUCUCCAGUAAGGAGACCUCCCACCCCUCACAGAGAUCUGGCUUUCCUUCCCUUCCCACCACAUCUGUUUAUACAAAGAGGGGCUGCUGGAGAACAAACAGAACCAUGUUUACUGGGAGUCCCAUCCUGGGCUUGAAGCUUAAGAUACAGAUUGGCCCUCACCACCACAGAGACUGAUGAUAAAUAGAUGGUCCCAGAAAAGGAAAGAGAGAAAGCACUGGGGGGUAUAGAGCUGGUGGAGUGGUUUACUCAAAAAAGGCCUCUCCUCAAAAGUCACAUAGUAAUGGGUAGAUUUAUAUUUGCAUUUAAACACAGUGCCUCGUGUUAAUACAUGAAUGUACUUUGAGCCCAAAGCAAUUUCAGUGUGGGUAUUUAUCUAUCUUCGGGAAUAGCCCUUAUUUUCUGUUUGGGGCCUGUAACAUAGAGGAAGUUAUGUUAAUACAUUUAUUUCCAGUGUAUGUUUUUGUGUAUAGUGUCCAGUUGGAGAACAUGGUCUUUUUUUUUUUUUAACAUUUAUUAUUUUUGAGAGAGAGAGAGCACGAGCAGGGGAGAGGCAGAGAGAGAGGGAGACACAGAAUCUGAAGCAGGCUCCAGGCUCUGAGCUGUCAGCACAGAACCCGAUGCGGGGCUCCAACUCACAAGCAGUGAGAUCAUGACCUGAGACGAAGUCAGACAUCCAACAGACUGAGCCAUCCAGGCACCCCGAGAAUAUGGUCUUUUGAAGAAACCCAAAUCAUACCUGUAGGUAGCAUUUUUACCAAGUUGUCAUAGAAAUAAAUUAAUAGCACUUGCAAGUAAGAUGUAGAGCAGUUAAUGAGAACCUUUAUAGGGUGAUCUUUUUAUUAUUUUUAUUUACCUGGUGGAUUAAGAUGUUCCCAUUAUCUUCUAGACUCUAGAUACACAUACCAAAACAAGUGCUCAAUCUAGCUGUCAAAACUUUAAAUCCUUAAUAAGAAGCAAAAAAAGUUUGGACUUCCUGGGAUUAGAAUGCCAGAACUAAAAGGGAGGUUUU